GCAGCAAAAACAGUUUGCAUUUGUUUUUCCGCGUGUUCGCACACGUUCACGGCAGCGAGAACAACAACGUGCGGUGUUGUGUGUGAGCCUGCCGCAAAAAUCAAAUGAAAGUCCAACUGCAAAGUAAAGCUAAAAGAAAGUCGACAAAAGUGGCAAUAUGCAGUGCGUGUGCAUAGAAAAACCAGAUAUACAGCGGCCACAGGGUAUUGUACUUUGGACAAGUGAAAUAUCCCCCAAACGCCAGUGAAAAUCGAAGGAAAAACCAACGCAGCAUACGCAGAAAACACCGGAUUUGCUGGGAAACCGGACAAAAAUGCUAGGCAGCCAAAUCGGCUGCCUUUGAGGCUUAGUGAGUGGCUCAAGGUGUGUGAAUCUAAAUAUUCCUCCAUCACGGAGACCUUUUUUAAGACAGAAAAGCCUAGAGAAACUAAUAAUAAAAACUUUCGAAUUAUUAUGAGAAUCUUCUAUAUUUGAAAUAUUUUCAAAUUCAAAUUUAAACAACUUUAUUCUUAAUGAACUAAUUGAUAAUUAAUUACAUAAUAGUAAACAAAGCUCAAAUAGACUGAAAUAGAGUCCAAAUAUAUUACGAAAGUAAAAUGCAAUUAAUUCAACAUAUCAUAUAAAUUAAUUAGAACAAAUUGCAUUUAAGUUAUUAAAAAGCAAGAUCAAGCAAAACAAAGCAAAACAAGCGUAUAAUUAAACAAAAACAGAGAAAAAAAACACAGGGCUGCAAAUCCAAUGAACAAAAGUCAAAAAUAAACACGAAAAGAGGCGAGAAUUAAGUGAACAGAUAUAAAAAAGCAGAUCAAAGUGCAAAAAGUGUGUGGUGGCUUCAUCGCGAAGAACAAUAACCCCUCUAAUACUGCAUAAUUAAUUUCUUUCAAAUACUCCGUUUAGUUCGCGUUUCAAUGCAAUUCAAUAAAUUCAAUAAAUUAAUAUGUUAAAUCCAGCAGCCAGAGGAACGGCGACAUAAAUGGAUCAUCAAUCGUAGAGGCAGCCGAAAAGAA
Long non-coding RNA from Drosophila erecta, 1007 nucleotides. RefSeq lists it as uncharacterized. The record is from RefSeq and is a predicted model, not a curated record. Lineage: Eukaryota; Metazoa; Arthropoda; Insecta; Diptera; Drosophilidae. The transcript is spliced from 3 exons.